CCCAGGGCUGACGGCCUGGGCUAUUCGCUGUCGCCCCGUUGGGGCU
This is a small RNA of Fimbriiglobus ruber, 46 nucleotides long. It matches the Rfam family "Acido-Lenti-1 RNA". NCBI's taxonomy places the organism in Bacteria, Pseudomonadati, Planctomycetota, Planctomycetia, Gemmatales, Gemmataceae. The record is from Rfam.